Molecule: ribosomal RNA, 406 nt
Filed under: uncultured bacterium
Lineage: Bacteria
Description: partial 16S ribosomal RNA
Rfam family: Bacterial small subunit ribosomal RNA
Source: RNAcentral
GACGAACGCUGGCGGCGUGCCUAAUACAUGCAAGUAGAACGCAGUUGCGAACGGGUGAGUAACGCGUCGGUAACUGCCUCAUAGCGGGGGAUAACUAUUGGAAAAGAUAGCUAAUUCCGCAUACUGUAAGAUGGACCUGCUUUGUAUUAUCUAGUUGGUGAGGUAAAGGCUCACCAAGGCGACUAUACCUAGCCGACCUGAGAGGGGGAUCGGCCACACUGGGCUUGAGACACGGCCCAGAAUCCUACGGGAGGCAGCAGUGGGGAAUCUUCGGCAAUGGACGGAAGUCUGACCGAGCAACGCCGCGUGAGUGAAGAAGGUUUUCGGAUCGUAAAGCCCUGUUGUUAGAGAAGCGGUAACUAACAAGAAAGGUACGGCUAACUACGUGCCAGCCGCCGCGGUAAAC